This 659-nucleotide long non-coding RNA is filed under the name Sus scrofa (pig). RNAcentral describes it as "lncRNA (ENSSSCG00060072358.1)". Lineage: Eukaryota; Metazoa; Chordata; Mammalia; Artiodactyla; Suidae. The record is from RNAcentral.
GUUUGCCUUCCAUUGACCCUUAAAGUUCCCUGAGCUGCCCUCUGUUCUGGAAGGACCUCAGCUAGUGAGUUUCUGUGCUUCUGUGUCUAUUUCCCUGUCAUAGGCUCCUCAAGGACUGCCCUGCAUUUUGAGUCACCUUUGUAUCAUCAGCAGUUCCUACUGCCCACAUUCAACUUUGUCAAGGGCAUUAUUGUGGAGAGAAGGAUUUCUGGAGAGCAGUCUUGAAGCAGGAAUAGAAAUUUGCUGAGGAUGAAGGGAGUGAGAAAUGUUCCCAGCAUGGAAAGCAGCAUGCAAAGGCUGGGGAGCAUGAAAAAAAAAAAAUAGCUCACUCAGAAAGCUACGAGAAGUGACAAAGCAAGUUCUUUGAUCAUGUAGGUAUAGGGGGGACCCCUGGCAUUCUGUGCUAUUCUAAAGGGUUUCAACUUUCUUCCGAAGGAGAUGGAAAAUUAUUGAGGCUGUUUAGAGCUGGCAGUGACACGAAGCAGGUAUUGCAUAGGCGAGGGGAGUUAUGCGUCCAGGCUGAUGACUAAGUUUCUCUCUUGAGUCUAUGUGUAGGUGAUGGCAAUGCAGCUCCCAGAAGUACCCAAAGAAAAGGCUGCCUGGGAGAAGAUGAUAAUGAGCCACACGUGGAGUAUGUUAAAUUUAAGGACACACGAGAU